RNAcentral lists this ribosomal RNA (511 nucleotides) under Gonyosoma oxycephalum (red-tailed green ratsnake). RNAcentral describes it as "partial 16S ribosomal RNA". It matches the Rfam family "Bacterial large subunit ribosomal RNA", at positions 1816 to 2597 of the family's 2925-position model. The record is from RNAcentral. Lineage: Eukaryota; Metazoa; Chordata; Lepidosauria; Squamata; Colubridae.
AACCUUUAGCCAAACAAAUAUUAAAGGCAACGCCUGCCCAGUGAACAAUUAAACGGCCGCGGUAUCCUAACCGUGCAAAGGUAGCAUAAUCAUUUGUCUACUAACUAUAGACCUGUAUGAAAGGCAAAAUGAGGGUCCAACUGUCUCUUAUAAUAAAUCAAUUAAACUGAUCCCCUAGUAAAAAAGCUAGGAUCUAAACAUAAGACCAGAAGACCCUGUGAAGCUUAAAUAAAACUAUUAACCCACAUAAUAAAUACUUUCGGUUGGGGCGACCUUGGAAAAAAAAAGAACUUCCAAACAACAUAAUACAUCCACCCAAACACAGGCCAACAAGCCAAUAAAUGACCCAGUCAAAAGACUGAUAAAUGAACCAAGUUACUCCAGGGAUAACAGCGCAAUCUUCUUCAAGAGCCCAUAUCAAAAAGAAGGUUUACGACCUCGAUGUUGGAUCAGGACAUCCUAAUGGUGCAGCCGCUAUUAAGGGUUCGUUUGUUCAACGAUUAACAGUCCU